UAUGAAGGGUGCAAGCGUUAAUCGGAAUUACUGGGCGUAAAGCGCGCGUAGGUGGUUUGGUAAGAUGGAUGUGAAAUCCCCGGGCUCAACCUGGGAACUGCAUCCAUAACUGCCUGACUAGAGUACGGUAGAGGGUGGUGGAAUUUCCUGUGUAGCGGUGAAAUGCGUAGAUAUAGGAAGGAACACCAGUGGCGAAGGCGACCACCUGGACUGAUACUGACACUGAGGUGCGAAAGCGUGGGGAGCAAACAGG
This 253-nucleotide ribosomal RNA is filed under the name uncultured bacterium. RNAcentral's name for it is "partial 16S ribosomal RNA". It matches the Rfam family "Bacterial small subunit ribosomal RNA", at positions 524 to 776 of the family's 1533-position model. The record is from RNAcentral.